CAGCGCUGCUGAGUCUCCUACUCUCCUGAGUAAACUUCACAGAUUCACAGAAGUGACAGAAAAAUUAUUAGAUUCAUCUAAAGAUCAAAGACAGUCUUGAAGAGAAAUACAAGAGCGGAUUGAUUUUCUGGGCUCGUGAAGAUCGGAGGAAUACAACAACGAAUUGAUUUUCUGGAUUGGAGUUCUAGUGAAAUCUUUAAAUUUUGGUUUGAGCAGUUUGGAUAAGUGGUUGUCCCCUAAAUCUGGAAGAAUACCAUUGCUCUUUUUUCCAGCCUCGGGAGAAGUAGCACCAAUCUACAAGUACACUACACUAGUACUGGAAUAUGUUGCAACACAGGAACGUGGUG
Molecule: long non-coding RNA, 347 nt
Organism: Papaver somniferum (opium poppy)
Lineage: Eukaryota; Viridiplantae; Streptophyta; Magnoliopsida; Ranunculales; Papaveraceae
Exons: 5
Source: RefSeq, a predicted model, not a curated record